GGGCUCGUGGUUUAGUGGUAUAAUACUCCCUUAGCAAGGCGGACUGGGAGUGGUCCGGGGUUCGAUUCCCCGCGAGUCCA
RNAcentral lists this transfer RNA (80 nucleotides) under Blumeria graminis f. sp. tritici. It matches the Rfam family "tRNA". Rfam says of the family: Transfer RNA (tRNA) molecules are approximately 80 nucleotides in length. Their secondary structure includes four short double-helical elements and three loops (D, anti-codon, and T loops). Lineage: Eukaryota; Fungi; Ascomycota; Leotiomycetes; Helotiales; Erysiphaceae. The record is from Rfam by way of RNAcentral. RNAcentral also lists the same sequence under 1 other name.